Molecule: ribosomal RNA, 394 nt
Filed under: uncultured bacterium
Lineage: Bacteria
Description: bacterial SSU rRNA
Rfam family: Bacterial small subunit ribosomal RNA
Source: RNAcentral
GAUGAACGCUGGCGGUAUGCCUUACACAUGCAAGUCGUACGAGAGUUUUUAACUCUAGUGGCGGACGGGUGAGUAACACGUAAGAAUUUGCCUUUAGGAGGGGGACAACAACUGGAAACGGUUGCUAAUACCCCAUAUGCUUUCGAGUGAAAUGGAUUUAUUUCCGCCUAGAGAGAAGCUUGCGGCUGAUUAGCUUGUUGGUGAGGUAAUGGCUCACCAAGGCGACGAUCAGUAUCUGGUUUGAGAGGAUGAUCAGACACACUGGAACUGAGACACGGUCCAGACUCCUACGGGAGGCAGCAGUGGGGAAUUUUCCGCAAUGGGCGAAAGCCUGACGGAGCAAUACCGCGUGAGGGAUGACGGCCUAUGGGUUGUAAACCUCUUUUUUCAGGGA